Amblyraja radiata (thorny skate) is the source of this 136-nucleotide small nucleolar RNA. The record is from RefSeq and is a predicted model, not a curated record. NCBI's taxonomy places the organism in Eukaryota, Metazoa, Chordata, Chondrichthyes, Rajiformes, Rajidae.
CCCUUCCAAAAAGCACUUGCUUUGCCUGUUCUCAGUGGCUUGGUGAGUUGUCAAGGGAGGCAAAGAAACACAUUGCUUUUGGGUGAGGUGGCAGCUUUUAACGUGCUGUUCAAUCUCAAUCAGUGAUGUGACAUUU